Molecule: non-coding RNA, 889 nt
Organism: Paramuricea clavata
Lineage: Eukaryota; Metazoa; Cnidaria; Anthozoa; Malacalcyonacea; Plexauridae
Source: the annotation of a GenBank genome assembly
AACAUCAGACUAGCUUGAUCCGUUUGACGCCGCUGACAGCUCACACUAACAUUCCAACAUACACGUGGUUAAAUUACUAUUAACUUUGGUUGUUACAAAACCUCAUUGAUUUACAAUGGUUAAAAUUACUAGUUAAACGUCCGGGUAAACCUGUGCAAAUAAGCCUAUUUGGGUUCACUUCAUAUUCCUGGGUAAUUUUGCUAUGAUUAUUUUCACCCUAUUGCCAAGUUAAUUUGACCAGGACUUUCCUGGUUCUGAUUUGGACUUCAAUGUUAAAAUUACUUGCAAUCACUACAGUUUUAAUUAUGACAUCUCUAGGGUAUUCCCCCAGAAAAUGUUUGUAGUUUUGAAGCUCGAUCGAUGACUAUGUUUUCUAACAUUUUCUGGGGAGAAUUCGCUAGAGAAUUGCGUCAUAUUGACUUGUGUAUUCAUGAAUUAAACACACAAUUUGGCUUGUAUCAUACUUAGUGUUGUUACCUUGUGAAGGACGAGGAAAAAUCUUCGGUUUAUUUGUAUAAAAGGAACCUUUUUUAACUGUCAGUUUGUUAGAAUUUCUAUGUGGACUGUUUUAAUAAUUAAAAUACUUUCUCAUACAACAAAUUGUUAGCAAACACCGACUUUCGAAGAAAUUGCUUUUUGCCAUUUUUUCAAAGUUUAUAAAUAGUUGUUCUGAUGAUGAUCAGCGCCAAAAUAAUUUAAAGUUUUGUCAAAAUAAUUUGCCAAUUUAUAUAUUAAUCACCGACAACUGAACUCGGCAGCCACUCAAUGUAUGUAUCUAUUCUAAGGGGCGGACCAUUAGAAAAGUGAUGGGGGGGGGGCAAAAGCAAAAACAGAAAUCGAGCAGGGGAAACAGAAAAAAAAAUUCGUGCACCAGAAAUGUUUGAAAAAA